AGAGCUCUUAUGAAAGAGACCCCAGAGAGAUCCCUUGCAAGUUCCACCAUGUGAGGAUACAGGGAGAAAAUGGCAGUCUAUGAACCAGGAAGCAAGUCUUCACCAGAACCCAGCUGUGCUAGCACCCUGAACUCAGGCUUUCAGCCUCCAGAACUAUCCUCAGAGCUUUAUAGCCUUUCAGUUGAGAAAUAUGAAACACUGAAAAUCAAAAACAAAUGCUGGAAAUCUUCUCCUGCCACCAUGUAAGAUAUGCCUUUCACCUUCAGCCAUGAUUGCGAGGCCUCCCCAGCCUGAUGGAAUUAAAAACCAUGCCUUUCCUAUGUGGAUAAUCAGCAAAGCUGAGGACAUCGGGAAGCAACUCAGGAUUGCCAGUUUACAGCUCUUCUGGAUGUGCACUGGUUAAUGCAUGGAAUUCAGCAACAGCAGACUUUGUUCCUUUGAUGGAUCCAGAAGAUCGCCACAUCAAGGAAUAUGGUGGUAAAACUGCAAGAUAAUCUGCCACCCCUAACAACUAUAGAAGUUCUAAGGAUGUUAGAGACUCAUAGAGAGGAAUUCUAAUGGCCAUACUUGAACCGUUGCAGCAAUACACUCAGAAGAUUGGUGAAAGAAAAGAAAGGCAUUUUGAAAGUGAUUUUCAAAAAACAGUUAAUCCAGAAUUCCAUAUUUAGCAAAAUUAUACUUCAAGAAUGAAUGUGACAUGAUAAUGUCAAUGAAAAGAAAAACAAAAUAAUUUGUCACCCCAAAAAAUUAUUGAACAAGAAUGCUAAAGAAAGUAGUGUAUAACGUAUAUGGCUGUGAAAUAUAUUAUGAUUAAAGCCUAGAGGAUUUUGGAAGAUGUGUUAAA
Molecule: long non-coding RNA, 844 nt
Organism: Homo sapiens (human)
Lineage: Eukaryota; Metazoa; Chordata; Mammalia; Primates; Hominidae
Product: long intergenic non-protein coding RNA 448
Source: Ensembl